RNAcentral lists this ribosomal RNA (484 nucleotides) under uncultured Flavobacteriaceae bacterium. RNAcentral's name for it is "bacterial SSU rRNA". It matches the Rfam family "Bacterial small subunit ribosomal RNA", at positions 28 to 505 of the family's 1533-position model. Lineage: Bacteria; Pseudomonadati; Bacteroidota; Flavobacteriia; Flavobacteriales; Flavobacteriaceae. The record is from RNAcentral.
GAUGAACGCUAGCGGCAGGCCUAACACAUGCAAGUCGAGGGGUAACAGAGGGUGCUUGCACCUUGCUGACGACCGGCGCACGGGUGCGUAACGCGUAUGCAACCUACCUUUUACAGGAGGAUAGUCAAUAGAAAUGUUGAAUAAUACUCCAUACGAUCUUUGAGUGGCAUUACUUAAAGAAGAAAGCUUUUGCGGUAAAAGAUGGGCAUGCGUCCUAUUAGUUAGUUGGUGAGGUAACGGCUCACCAAGACAUCGAUAGGUAGGGGCCCUGAGAGGGGGAUCCCCCACACUGGUACUGAGACACGGACCAGACUCCUACGGGAGGCAGCAGUGAGGAAUAUUGGACAAUGGAGGCAACUCUGAUCCAGCCAUGCCGCGUGCAGGAAGACUGCCCUAUGGGUUGUAAACUGCUUUUAUACAGGAAGAAACCUACUUACGUGUAAGUAGCUGACGGUACUGUAAGAAUAAGGAUCGGCUAACUCCG